RNAcentral lists this ribosomal RNA (460 nucleotides) under uncultured bacterium. Its description in RNAcentral is "partial 16S ribosomal RNA". It matches the Rfam family "Bacterial small subunit ribosomal RNA", at positions 338 to 795 of the family's 1533-position model. The record is from RNAcentral.
CCUACGCGCGGCAGCAGUGAGGAAUAUUGGUCAAUGGGCUUGCGCCUGAACCAGCCAAGUCGCGUGAGGGAUGACUGCCCUAUGGGUUGUAAACUUCUUUUAUAAGGGAAUAAAGUGAUCCACGUGUGGGUUUUUGUAUGUACUAUAUGAAUAAGGAUCGGCUAACUCCGUGCCAGCAGCCGCGGUAAUACGGAGGAUCCGAGCGUUAUCCGGAUUUAUUGGGUUUAAAGGGAGCGUAGAUGGGUUGUUAAGUCAGUUGUGAAAGUUUGCGGCUCAACCGUAAAAUUGAAAUUGAUACUGACAGUCUUGAGUACAGUUGAGGUAGGCGGAAUUCGUGGUGUAGCGGUGAAAUGCUUAGAUAUCACGAAGAACUCCGAUUGCGAAGGCAGCUUACUAAACUGCCACUGACACUGAGGCUCGAAAGUGUGGGUAUCAAACAGGAUUAGAUACCCGGGUAGUC